UUUGAUUGUAGAUUGAACCACAUUAUAAUAUAAUUUAUACGUACACAAUCAAAUUAAUAUACCCACACACUAAAAUAUACAUUUUAGCAUCAAUUAACAUAAGAUAACGUAGAUCGAAAAUUAUAAUACAAUUAGACAAAUUAAAAUGGAUGGAACAAUGUAAUAUUACUCUAGCCUUUCACCAUUUGUGAUGAAAAGUAAGAAAACUAACUCCACUUAAAAUAAGUAUUUUUUUAAUUAAUCUUAGAAUAUCUCGAAUAUAUAGAAAGAUUCAGACUAAUCAUAAAGAAGAAGUGCAAUCCAGAGAUGAACUCUCUUGUCUCUCAGAAUAUACAAAUGAAAAUAUUAGAUACAUAUAUGAAUGACCACAUGUAAAAUUUAAUAACUUUUUAUUAAAAGGGAAAUCAAUCCUUAACCUAAACUAACAUGACAACUUUUUAUCUAGUGGAAAUCAUUAAACCACCAUAAUGUGGCUGUAAA
RNAcentral lists this long non-coding RNA (480 nucleotides) under Brassica napus (rape). Its description in RNAcentral is "long non-coding RNA (BNAP_LNC001290)". Lineage: Eukaryota; Viridiplantae; Streptophyta; Magnoliopsida; Brassicales; Brassicaceae. The record is from RNAcentral.